This 515-nucleotide ribosomal RNA is filed under the name uncultured soil bacterium. RNAcentral's name for it is "bacterial SSU rRNA". It matches the Rfam family "Bacterial small subunit ribosomal RNA", at positions 26 to 529 of the family's 1533-position model. The record is from RNAcentral.
AGAUUGAACGCUGGCGGCAUGCCUUACACAUGCAAGUCGAACGGUAGAGUAGCAAUACUCGAGAGUGGCGAACGGGUGAGUAAUAUAUCGGAACGUGCCCAGUCGUGGGGGAUAACGUAGAGAAAUUUACGCUAAUACCGCAUACGAUCUAAGGAUGAAAGCGGGGGACCGUAAGGCCUCGCGCGAUUGGAGCGGCUGAUAUCAGAUUAGGUUGUUGGUGAGGUAAAAGCUCACCAAGCCGACGAUCUGUAGCUGGUUUGAGAGAACGACCAGCCACACUGGGACUGAGACACGGCCCAGACUCCUACGGGAGGCAGCAGUGGGGAAUUUGGACAAGUGGCGAAAGCCUGAUCCAGCAAUGCCGCGUGCAGGAAGAAGGCCUUCGGGUUGUAAACUGUCUUUUGUACGGUAACGAAACGGUCUGUACUUUAAGUACUAGUGGCUAAGUGUAACGGUACGUAAGAAUAAGACACCGGACUAACUACGUCGCCGUACGCACGGCCGUCGUAAUCGUA